This is a long non-coding RNA of Rosa rugosa (rugosa rose), 2505 nucleotides long. RefSeq lists it as uncharacterized. NCBI's taxonomy places the organism in Eukaryota, Viridiplantae, Streptophyta, Magnoliopsida, Rosales, Rosaceae. The transcript has 6 exons. The record is from RefSeq and is a predicted model, not a curated record.
UUGAAAACAGAAAACACAUCUUUUGACAGUUUCAUACAGUACAAAUAAGGACACGGAGCCCAGACCCAAAACAUAUGGAACAGAUUUUAAUGCAAAAUUACCAAAUUUCUCAAUUUUUUUCCAAAAAUAAUAACAAUGGCACUAAGAAUCAGAUGAUUCCAAUCACACACAAAGAUCAUCGUCCCCAACCCCAAAAGGGAUGCAUGAAAAACUCCCAAGUCCGAAACUGGAUUUCAAUUUGUUCUCAAACCUCUUCACACCUCAAUAAUCAUCGCCAAUGGUCCUUCUACUUCGGUGAUGCCAGUUUCGAAUCCCCAACCCGAUAAACCUAAAUCUCGGAUCUACGUCUUUCAUUUCCUCGAUGGAACGGCACCCUCCACCUCCACCUGCGCUCACCCUGCCUCUCCGCCUUCACCGCCCACUUGGAAGUCACUGGCGAAUCACUUGCGUCGUUGCUCCGCUUUGCCAAGUCGUAGGUGUUGAACAAUACAAGGAUAUAAUUCUCACUGCCCAAGCUAAAGGCUUUGGCUGCUUUGCAAUCGGCGACCUCUAUGGUCCUCUUUACCACAUUUACUAUAUACUAAAGCUCCUACACUGUUCAUAAGCACUGUUCAUCACUGUUCACAUGCGAAAUGGCAGUUCUGCCCUCGAGUUCUAUACAGAGAUAAAAAGCGUGAGUUUUGUGGUGCGUUCUGGAAGCCUUCAUCGAGUGCAGUCGUGCAAACUGUUCAUUCUACUUUCGGUUUUGCUCUUAGAUAGAGACGCAUCGUCAAAGGCAGGUAUGAACUGUAUUGAUCAAGCUGUGAGAUAUAAAGGUUGGGCUUAAAGCAAAUAGGAGGGGUUUGGUUUUCACAGCUUUUGAAUUUUUGAUUUGUUGUAGCGUUUUGGAUUGUGAAUUUGGGUUUGUUUUGUGAAUAGGAGAGAUCCAAGAUUGUGGUAGCAUUUUGUUUUGUGAAUUUCGAUUUGGUUUCUAUCAGAACGAUUGGCAAGGGUGAAAAUUUGGGUUGUGAUUUUGUUUUUGAAAUUUGAUGUGUUUUUGAUUGAAUUGUUCAUAGGUUGAAUUUGCUUUCUUUAUUUUUAUAGUGUGCGCUAAGUCUAGAGGUUGUACGUAUUGAAGGGUGGUGAUUUAUCUGCGGACACCUACUGAAACUGGCAUAGCAGAUUAUUUACAAGCUCCAUUUGCUUUUGAUGAAGCUAACAGUUCAGCUAAUCUCUACUCUCUAGCUUGGUGCCCACUACUCCUCAAAUAAUCUAUUUCAGCAUUUUAGGUAUCUGAUGCAACAUGUGCCCCUUUCAGUUAAUUUGAUUAUGAUGCAGCCCAAUUUAAGUUUUUAUGACAGUCAUCAAAAAUACUCUUCAGAGCAAUUGAUUCCCUUCUUCAAAACAACCAAAAUCUAAGGAAAUGCUUAAAUAUUUUGACAUAGCUAUUUAUUCUCACCGAAUUCUGCUCGGGUUCCAAGUUAUCAGAAGAAGAGGCAGAGAAUAGAAAGAAGCACAAUCUGAUCCAGUGCUUGAGAGUCAAUCAAUACGUGGCGAAAGGGCUCAAAUGCCCAUGGGUUGAGAUGUCCAGUCCUUUAGAGUUUUUGUGGCAACCUGGAAUGUAGGGGGAAACCUCCCCAUGGUGGCCUUAAUCUGGACAAUUUUCUUCAGGUUAAUAAUCCAUCAGACAUUAAUGUCUUGGGGUAUGGUUUCUCUUCUUAUUUUUCGUCUUCUCUUCUGAUAUUCUUCAGGUUAAUAAUCCACCUUUUCCUAAUUCCUUUUGAAUUUUGAUUUUUUCUUAGCUGAUUUCGAUAAGAUUACACAAGGUAGUUUUUGAGCUGUUUACUAUGCCGAGCUGACAAAUGAGGUUUGCUUCUUUUACUAUUUUUUAUUUUACUUGCUGAGUUUUUUUUCUUAUCGUUUGUUUCUGGGUUUCGAUGGGUACAUUUGUUUUCCAUCUACUCUUGAUAUAUAAUUGUGCAUACCUGCUAUGAGUGUCAAGAGCAAAAUAUUUAUCUCAGAUAUACUGCAUGUAUAUCAACAAUGGAAACUUGAAGCAGUGACUUCAUGGAGUCUUGCUCAAUUACAUAACGCCAUUGAACCAAAGUUGAUACAUCGAGACAAUAAGUGGAGGCUUCUUCUUGGCCACGAAGCACUUUGUAAAGUAAUAUACCAUUUAGGGAUGAGAGAGCAGUUACUGACAUUGUUUUGCCAAAUCAAGUCUGACUGAUAAGAAAAUUGAAUUCAAGAGGGGAGUUGCCUCCAGGUGAGGUACUACUAAUGCCGCUGGAUGCAACUGUUGGACAGCAAAACAAGAAGCUGAGUGUCCAGAGGGAUGCAUAUUGGAUCACAGAACAAUUUGUGUUGAUGGAAAUCAAAGGCUUGGAGGAAUCAGAUGAUAUGGAAGUACUUUGUAGAGCAGUUCAAUUGCGAACAGUUUCCGUCUCUUCGCAAAAAUACUAUUCCAAUUGAUGUUAUAUAUGGUAUUUUAUCAAUUUGAUCAAUAAUAAAGUCAUUUUCAAUUAU